AACGGCUGCUUUAAUGGGACAGCAAACACAUCUCUGAAACGCUUAUAAGAGAGGGAAAAAACACAAGAAAGCAAAAGAAAGGAGCUUAGUAAUGGCAGCAGCACAUGAUCGACAACCUGCUUGUUUCUUUAUCUCUCCAAUCAAGUCUUUUGAAGCUCGCGAUCGACAAUCACGUCUUGUUUCUUUAUCUCUGUACAAGAAUAAAUCAGGGUUCUAAUCAGAUGGCAUGCACAAUUGAAAAGCGAAAAUGGGUUUAAAUUCUGUGUUCCAUUGAUUGAAUUUUGGUUUCCUUUUUCUCUGGGAAACAUAGGUGAAGUAAUUUCAUUCUCCCCACGUAAUCCAUACGGGAGAACUUUCAAUGGCAAUCGUCCAGACUCCAAACCAAGGACAGAUGCUUGAUUGACAUUGAUGGCGAUUUUCAUGAGUACAUCUGUAUGUGUUGCAGAUGCAAGAGGAAAAAUUAAUUACUUACUUCAGCUCAACAACGGCCAGCGUCGUUCGAGGAUAAUCCCUGAAGAGCGCGUAUAUCCUGAAAUAGGGCCAUGAACAAAUCGAUGAAGGCGUAUGAUGUC
Molecule: long non-coding RNA, 572 nt
Filed under: Eucalyptus grandis
Lineage: Eukaryota; Viridiplantae; Streptophyta; Magnoliopsida; Myrtales; Myrtaceae
Description: long non-coding RNA (EGRA_LNC003867)
Source: RNAcentral